GGUUCCUGUCUGAAGGACUGAAGGAUGCACCACUCUGAACCCGUCUUUCAUCACCUCCUCUGUGUACAUUUUUACAUCGUGUCUGAGUUCUGUCUUGGAAGAUUAAAAUUGAACUCUUGAAAUAUUCUGA
This is a long non-coding RNA of Thalassophryne amazonica, 130 nucleotides long. RefSeq lists it as uncharacterized. The record is from RefSeq and is a predicted model, not a curated record. The transcript has 2 exons. Lineage: Eukaryota; Metazoa; Chordata; Actinopteri; Batrachoidiformes; Batrachoididae.